This 407-nucleotide long non-coding RNA is filed under the name Sus scrofa (pig). RNAcentral describes it as "lncRNA (ENSSSCG00030045090.1)". The record is from RNAcentral. Lineage: Eukaryota; Metazoa; Chordata; Mammalia; Artiodactyla; Suidae.
GUCCUCCACCCGGCCGGAUAUAGGCUUCUUCAGCUCGUGCCUUCUGCCCUAUAGUCUGAUGUUUUAACCCAAAGUGCUGUGAAAAAAAUUCAUCUGUUAAAGCCAUAGAGCUUGUGGGUCCAACGUCUGGGGCUCUGGGCUGAGGACAGAGGAUACAGAUCUCUCAAACCUGGCCCCUGCCCCCAGGAAUGUGAAAAUCUGUGCGUGGAGUCAGGACACAGUGGACUUGCUUUUGUAAGGAUGUGAUUCAGAAAUUGUCUCAAAGCACUGCUUUUCCAGUGAAAUCACUGACCUUGGACCGAAGCUGAGGCGAUACCUCCAGGCGUUUCCCCAAAAGCUCAGCCUCUCCUGGGGACCUCCUCUCGCUGGGCCAGGAAGCUCAUUCUCACAGGUUCCAUCUGGUCCAC